CGGAGGGUGCGAGCGUUGUCCGGAAUCACUGGGCGUAAAGGGCGCGUAGGUGGCUUGGCAAGCGUGUGGUGAAAGCCCGGGGCUCAACCCCGGGUCUGCCGUGCGAACUGCUAUGGCUUGAGCACUGUAGAGGCAGGUAGAAUUCCGGGUGUAGCGGUGGAAUGCGUAGAGAUCCGGAAGAAUACCGGUGGCGAAGGCGGCCUGCUGGGCAGUGGCUGACACUGAGGCGCGACAGCGUGGGGAGCAAACAGGAUUAGAUACCCUGGUAGUCCACGCCGUAAACGAUGGGCACUAGGUGCUUGGGGGAGCGACCCUCUGAGUGCCGUCGCUAACGCAGUAAGUGCCCCGCCUGGGGAGUACGGCCGCAAGGCUG
Molecule: ribosomal RNA, 373 nt
Filed under: uncultured organism
Description: bacterial SSU rRNA
Rfam family: Bacterial small subunit ribosomal RNA
Source: RNAcentral